This 946-nucleotide non-coding RNA is filed under the name Oryzias minutillus (dwarf medaka). RNAcentral describes it as "12S ribosomal RNA". It matches the Rfam family "Bacterial small subunit ribosomal RNA". Lineage: Eukaryota; Metazoa; Chordata; Actinopteri; Beloniformes; Adrianichthyidae. The record is from RNAcentral.
CAAAAGUUUGGUCCUGACUUUACUGUCAACUUUAACUAAAAUUACACAUGCAAGUAUCCGCACCCCCGUGAGAAUGCCCUAUAGCUUCCAUAGGAAACAUAGGAGCUGGUAUCAGGCACAAAUAGUAGCCCACGACACCUUGCUAAGCCACACCCCCAAGGGAACUCAGCAGUGAUAAACAUUAGGCAAUAAGCGUAAGCUUGACUUAAUUAAAGUUAAGAGAACCGGUUAAACUCGUGCCAGCCACCGCGGUUAUACGAGAGGUUCGAGCUGACAGAAAACGGCGUAAAGAGUGGUUAGUUUUAAAUGUAACUAAAGUGAAAUACCCCCUUAGCUGUUAUACGCACCCGGGGGAUAGAACACCAAAAACGAAAGUAACUUUAACAUAAGCGAUGCCACGAAAGCUACGAAACAAACUGGGAUUAGAUACCCCACUAUGCUUAGCUGUAAACAUUGAGUGAUUUUUUACCUUAUCAUUCCGCCUGGGUACUACGAGCACUAGCUUAAAACCCAAAGGACUUGGCGGUGCUUUAUACCCACCUAAAGGAGCCUGUUCUAGAACCGAUACCCCACGUUUAACCUCACCCUCUCUGGUUCUUCCCGCCUAUAUACCGCCGUCGUCAGCUUACCCUGUGAAGGUAAAGCAGUUAGCAUAAUCAGUUCUACUAAAAACGUCAGGUCGAGGUGUAGCAUAUGAGAGGGGAAGAAAUGGGCUACAUUCCUUACACUAAGGCAACACGGACAAUAUUAUGAAAUAAAUAUUAGAAGGAGGAUUUAGCAGUAAGCAGCAAAUAGAGAGUCCUGCUGAAACUGGCCCUAAAGCGCGCACACACCGCCCGUCACUCUCCCCAACCCGUUAAACUAAAAGUAAAUUAAACCUAAGAAAGGAGAAAGGGGAGGCAAGUCGUAACAUGGUAAGUGUACCGGAAGGUGUACUUGGGCAAAC